This 557-nucleotide long non-coding RNA is filed under the name Monodelphis domestica (gray short-tailed opossum). RNAcentral describes it as "lncRNA (ENSMODG00000044969.1)". The record is from RNAcentral. Lineage: Eukaryota; Metazoa; Chordata; Mammalia; Didelphimorphia; Didelphidae.
AGAAGAUUUAAGAAGGGGUUCCAGGAAGUGUGGUCUCUCUAUUGCCUUGGACCUGGCCCCAGUUCUGUCCCUCUUCAGAGCUGUCAUCUAGCAGGAUGGCACUUCCAGGAGUUUAGUGACUGGAAUUGCCAGAGUCUGGGGACUCUGUGUGUGUUAAUAUCUCACAGCUCUUCAAGAAGCUAGUGUACUGAGACAAAGAACAUUAUGUGACUUGCCUGGGAUCACACAUCUAGAAAAUUUCUGAGGCUGGAUUUGAAGACAUGAAGAAGAGACUUCCUAAUUUCAAGCCCAGUGAUGUAUCCACUCUACCACCAUCUAACAAAAGUGUUCAAGGAAAGGAGUCUGCUCUGGAAUAAGGAUAAAAUCUGUGGCCACAGAACAGAACAAAGUUAAUUGAACAACAUCCAUGAAGUGACUUGGAGAGAUUUUGGUCUAUUAGCAAAGGUAAUAUUAAUAAUAUUUGCCCUAAAGACAAGCAGCUCAAAGUGUUUCCCUAAUAUCAGUUGAGUAGGAGGUGGUAACAAUCUCCACAUGAGGGAAUGGCUAGAGAUGGGAAG